UAACGCGUGGGCAACCUGCCCCAUACNGGGGGAUAACAGNCGGAAACGGNUGCUAAAACCGCAUAAGCGCACAAGGGCCGCNNGGNCUGGNGNGAAAAACUCCGGNGGGAUGGNAUGGGCCCGCGUCUGAUUAGNUNGUUGGNGGGGGAGAGGCCCACCAAGGNNACNAUCAGUAGCCGACCUGAGAGGGNGGCCGGCCACNUUGGGACUGAGACACGGCCCAAACUCCUACGGGAGGCAGCAGNGGGGAAUAUUGCACAAUGGGGGAAACCCUGAUGCAGCGACGCCGCGUGGGUGAAGAAGUAUUUCGGUAUGUAAAGCCCUAUCAGCAGGGAAGAAAGAAGACGGUACCUGACUAAGAAGCCCCGGCUAACUACGUGCCAGCAGCCGCGGUAAUACGUAGGGGGCGAGCGUUAUCCGGAUUUACUGGGUGUAAAGGGAGCGCAGGCGGCCUGNCAAGCCUGAUGUGAAAUACCGGGGCCCAACCCCGGGGCUGCAUUGGGAACUGNCAGGNUGGAGUGNCGGAGAGGNAGGCGGAAUUCCUAGUGUAGCGGUGAAAUGNGUAGAUAUUANGAGGAACACCNGUGGCGAAGGCGGCCUGNUGGACNNUGACUGACGCUGAAGCUCGAAAGCGUGGGGAGCAAACAGGAUUAGAUACCCUGGUAG
This 666-nucleotide ribosomal RNA is filed under the name uncultured bacterium. RNAcentral's name for it is "partial 16S ribosomal RNA". It matches the Rfam family "Bacterial small subunit ribosomal RNA", at positions 111 to 793 of the family's 1533-position model. The record is from RNAcentral.